GGAGGGAGCCGUGAUAUUGUUUUCGGUAUAACCGCCAUUUUAUUGUUAGACUAUUCGUUGACCAACCCACUUUGCACGCAUAGAUUUAAAUAGGGGACACGGCUUUAUGUUGGCAAGUUCUCGUGGCUGCUCAUUGCCCCCCUCCAGUUUUCAACCAAAAGUUAGAGCCAAGUUACAAUACCUGUGUGGACAUCUGCAUUUUUGGCCGCAUUUAUUCAAGAAAAAGCCUGAUCUCAAGACGGUGCACUAAGGAGGUAUAUGUCUUUGGACAUAGAGUAAUGGAGAUGCCGGAGAUAAGGGAAUUCAGUUGAACUAUUAUUACAAUAUGUUAUAAUAUUCAACAAUGCUUUGUUCGAAAGAGCUAAUACAAAACUGAAGAUCGAGGAAGUCAAACGAUAUACUAUAAUCCUUACAAAUAUUUUAGUUUUACAAUGUAGUUAUAGGUAUAACUAUGCAGUUCGGUUAUUUACAAUACAUUAUUGUAAUGAAUACAAUAUACACUUAUAAUAUGAUUACAGAGA
Athalia rosae (coleseed sawfly) is the source of this 521-nucleotide long non-coding RNA. RefSeq lists it as uncharacterized. NCBI's taxonomy places the organism in Eukaryota, Metazoa, Arthropoda, Insecta, Hymenoptera, Athaliidae. The record is from RefSeq and is a predicted model, not a curated record. The transcript has 2 exons.